CCCAGUGCCGCCCGCGGGCGGUUCCCGCCGGCCGGGCUGGCCGCGACGGGCCCGCGCGCCGGGCGGGGGGCGGGCGUCCGGGCUGGCCUGCGGUGUUCUCCCGCCCCCGCCCCGGGCUGGCGCGCCCCGACGCAUCUCCUAGGGGCACCGGGGCUCUCCGCCGAGCUCCGGGCAGGUCCUGAGUUCCCUCGCGCAUGCAUGCAGCCAUUCGUUCCACAGCCAUGACUGGGCACCUACUGUGUGCCAGGCCCUCAGUGAUUUCAUGCCUAGGGAAGGCAAGAAGUCGGCGCCCAAAGAAACUUUGAAAUGAGGAGUCUUGCACGACGGGUGCGCGGUUGAGCUGAGGUCCCGCUGACUUCCAGUCCAGUGCUCGUCCCUUGGCACUAGUAAGCUUCCCUGGUUAAACCUCCCCAAGGCUCGUGGGACCCCUACCUGAUCUGUGCUCCUGCUUCCCACCUCCGUCUCAUCUCACACCUGCCUUCCUGCGGAUCCUAGAGCGCCUUUCUGUCCAUCAAACACUCGAACUUCACUAACCUCAGGACAUUGGCGCCCGCCUUUCCCUCUGUGGGACGUUCUUGCCCAGCUUUUCACGUGGCCGGCGCCUUCUCAUUGUACAUAGGUCCCCUCCUCAGAGAGGCCUUUCCUGACCACCUUCCUCGAUUAGCCCUCUGCUCCUGACCACUCCGUGUACUCUGUUUUCUUCAUAGCAUUUAACAGUGAUUUAUCCAUUUUCAGCAAAUAUUUAUUGAGCACCUAUUCUGGUUUUUCUCGCGUGGGGAACAAAUAGACAAAAAUUCUGUCCCCCAGUGGAGUUUGGGGAAAGAGGGACAGGUAACAGAUAAACAGCAAAUUAGCAAACUAUGCAUUAUAUUAGAAAGUGAUAAGUUCUAAGAGGAAAAAGAGCAGGGUCAGGAGAUUUGGGGCUGGAGGUAAGCAGUGAAUUUUCAGUGAAGCGGUCGGAUAGGGCCCUUGAGCUGAUGGACGGUCUGAUUGGGUGACACUGAGAAGGUGAUAGUGGUAUUUCAGCCACGCAGAUAAGCAGGGAAGAGCAUUCCUGGCCGAGGGAACAGCCAGUGCCAAGACCCAAAAGAGCGCCGGACCGCUUAGGGAACGGCAAGGAGGCAGAGGAGCAGAUGAGGUUGGUCACUUUGGCUUUUCCUCCGAUUUGUUUAAUUCUCAUGUUGUAUUUCCCUCCUAAAUGUCAGCUUUGGGGCUGUAGCUCUGCUUGUCUUUACUGCAGUGACCCCCCUGCAACACUGUCUGGCACACACUAGGCGCUCAAACAUUAUUUGUUGAAUAUGUGAACGAAGGGAUGCAGAGAUGGUUGGAACCCUCCAGUCGGGCCUGGGUGCCAGGUCCUGGGGGCAGUCGUUCCAGGGAUAGACUGAGGCCUCGGCAGCCCCUGGAACCUCAUUUCGGUCCUUGUCCCGGAGUCGCACGUCCCGGGAUAGCGCCGCUGCAGCGGGUGCCGCCCGUGCAUCGCGUCGGGGGGAUUUCCGACGGAGCCCGGAGUCCAGGGGCAGGACCGCCCGCGCCCCGCCCGGCCCGGCCCGGCCUCGAGUCGCCAGCAAAACCUGGAGCCGCGGCGCCCGCUCAGCACCACUCGGACGGGCGGGGAGCGCACUGGGCAUGCUCGGAGCCGGGCGGGGCCGGAGCCCCCGGAAGGAGGAGCCCCCUGGAGGGGCAGGCGACGCCCCCCGCAGAGCUCCACCCAGCGCCCCCGGGCUCAGCAGGAGGCAUUCUCUGUCCUUUCCCCACUGCCUUAUCCUCUCUGUGCUUCAACCAUUGUGAAUACCUACGCUUCGAUCUGGGCACCCGAGUGGAAGUUGAGUGAAAUAAGGAACGUGAACGUGUUUAGACCACCUUAAAGAUCCAUUUCUUGAGUGCCUACCAAAAUCAGCCGUCAUCCUCAUGCCAGUUUGCCAACUGCUGAGAUGAGGAAACCGAGGUCAACGGAGGAUGUGUGAAUUUUCGAAGUUGUCUUAAUCUGCUGACCCCUAGACUGAAAUUACCUUUUCUUUUCCCACAGCUAACAGCUGUUAGCUUAAACGAUGCCCUCAACUUUGAGCUAGGAACAUGCUUACACCUAAAGGAAAGACCUAAAUAUUUUAAAAAUCAUGCGUUUUAAAUCACCAUAACAGAAGCAGGAACAAAAUGAAAGAAUACUCCCCAAAUUGGAAACAAACUAAGUACUCAAUAACAGAGGGAUGAUUAAUUAGGUUAUGGUAUAUUAGUUGAAAUAAUAACUAUCUUACACUAAGUUAAAAAGACCAUGUUGCAACAGGGAAAACACGGUACAAUGUUAAAUGAAAAAAAAAAAAACCGCAGAAAACAGGUCGGGUGAGGUGGCUCAUGCCUGUAAUCCCAGCACUUUGGGAGAUCCAGGUGAGAAGGUAGCUUAAGCCCAAGAGUUCAGGACCAGCCUGGGCAACAUAGCAAGACCCCAUCUUUACAAAAAAAAACUUAUCCAGGUGUGGUGGCAUGCACCUGUGGCCUCAGCUACAUGGGAGGCUGAGGUGGGAGGAUCUCUUGAGCCAGGAAGGUCAAGGCUGCAGUGAGUUGUGAUGGCACCAUUUGUACUUCAGCCUGUAUGACAGAGCGAGAUUCUGUCUCAAAUAAAAAAAAAAAAAAAAGCUAAAAACACAAAUAGAUUGUAUAAACAUGGUGUUGACACAUUCACCAAGACUGGAAGGAAAUAUGGGAAAAUUAACUAGUCAUUUUUUUGGAGUAGUAAGUUUGGGUGUUUUUUAAAAGUUUAUUAAUGUCACAAUGACAUGUUUGCAAUAAUAAGCAUUUAAAAGAUCAAAUUAAAAAUUCUUGUUUUGUGUAUAUCCAGUUACAGUAACUGCUAUUAUCAAGCUCAAGUACGAUGAAUAUUUUAUAUAUAUUCUCUCUUUAAUCCUUACCAUCACUCUACAGAGUGGGUGUUUUAGCUCAGUUUUACAGAAGAGAAAACAAUCUAGGGGCUGUUCACAGCUGUUAAGGGGGUGAGGAUUUGAACACAAGUCAAUCUGAUCUCAAAGUCAGGGUGUUAGGUUUUAGGACACACUGCCUCUCUGUGUAGUAGAUUACCAUGUAUUGAUGAUAAGAGAAGCUAUAUGUCAUCUAAUUUUGUAGGGUUUUUUGCCUUAUUUUCUCUACCCUUUGAUGUGUUUGUAGGCUACAGAUUACCUUUAAAUGUUCUAGUCUCCUGUUACUGUUUUAUUCUUGGGGCCAAAAUGUUAAAGUCUAUCCUUUUAAGCUGUUGCAUCUGGAGUGACAUAAGGUUAUUAUUACCAAUGACAGUUGAUCUUAUAUCAUAAGCUCCCAAACCUUACGUAAAUGGGGCUUUUGAAUGGGCACAUAAUCUUCUUAGGCUAUUGUUGAACUCAGCCAAGUGUAGAGCAAAUUAAAGCCCAAUUGGGAAUAGAGCUGUACUCAGUCCCAGAUCGACUGGUCCAGAGAGGACCCACAUAGAUUAUCGUCUCUGGGCAUUCACUUUGGAGGCAGGAUCACAACAUGAUGGAACCACCUGGUCCAUGGACUCCUCAGGGACUUUUCUGUGAUGAAAUGACAGAGAGCUGAUAGUCCUGAUGAUGUUUGCUGAGAGAAAGCCAGGACCGUAAGAGCAGCCCUCCUCCUGCGAAGCUCAAAAAUAUAGUCACCUCUCUCUCUUAGUGCCAGUAGACUGUACCUGGCUGAAAGAUCCAGAAACCGUGAAAAACAAUAACAACAAAGAAAACAAAAGAGCAUCAUUUUAUUGGAGAGUAAGAUACGCUACAAACUGAAUAUACAUCACAGGUAAUGGACCAGAUUCGUAAAAGAGGAACAAGAGAUGAACAUCUAAACAUAGUUAUUAGCAGCAUUCCCAGAAGCUGCCAUUGGGGCAGAAAAUCAGGUGCCAGGCACUGUAUGCAGGCAAUUGGUUAAGGGAAUUUAUAGGAAGAGUUUCCUGGAAGAAUCACUGAGGAUUGUCAUUCGCAUCAAGACUUGGGAAGUCUGCCCUACUUGUACUGCUCCAGUGAUUUACAAAGCAGUGCUCUGAGCUGAGAUGCUAAUGCUCAUCAAUUAUUUGUGCUGUUAAUGCAAGCUUAUGAAGAGCCCGAGAAUCCAUAAAUACAUGGGCAAGUGGUGCUGUUAGAAUGACAUGAAAAGAAUAUGAUGUAAAAUACACAUGGUAUGGUAUGUGGGAAUUCAGUAGGUUGAACUAUAAAUUGCCAGGCAGGGUGCAGUGGCUCCCACCUGUAAUCCCUGCACUGUGCGAGGCUGAGGUGGGAGGAUUGCUUGAGGACAGGAGUUUGAGACCAGUCUGGGCAAUGUAGUGAGACCCUGUCUCUACAAAUAAGAAAAAAAUUAGCUGGAUGUGGUGGCACCCAUGUGUGGUCCCAGCUACUUGGGAGACUGAGGUGGGAGGAUCACUUGAGUCAGGGCGGUUGAGGCUGCAGUGAGUCCUAGUUGUGCCACUGCACUCCAA
This 4453-nucleotide long non-coding RNA is filed under the name Homo sapiens (human). RNAcentral describes it as "non-protein coding lnc-PALM2-3:1". The record is from RNAcentral. Lineage: Eukaryota; Metazoa; Chordata; Mammalia; Primates; Hominidae.